Molecule: long non-coding RNA, 289 nt
Organism: Oxyura jamaicensis (ruddy duck)
Lineage: Eukaryota; Metazoa; Chordata; Aves; Anseriformes; Anatidae
Exons: 3
Source: RefSeq, a predicted model, not a curated record
UAGUCUCGUGGUUAUACAAGGAUGUAUAAGACAGAAAGUCACAUUUUAUCAUGUGGCCCUAGCAUUGCUCCACAUUGACACAAAUCAGAUGAACACAUCUCACAGGAAGUUUAGGUUGGAUAUUAGGAAGAACAUCUUUACUGCAGGGGAUGUUAGGUAUUGGAAUAGACUGCCCAGUGAAGUGGUUGAGUCACCAUCCCUGGAGGUCUUUAAAAGACAGUUAGGUGUAGAGCUUAGUGAUAUGGUUGAGUGGAGGACUUGCUAGUGUUAGGUCAGAGGUUGGACAAGG